Molecule: long non-coding RNA, 1900 nt
Organism: Lonchura striata (white-rumped munia)
Lineage: Eukaryota; Metazoa; Chordata; Aves; Passeriformes; Estrildidae
Source: Ensembl
GUUGCCUGUCCUGUGGCAAUGGAGUUCAGUUCAGCUGGACCCAAAAAUGCAGAUGUGCUCCUUUUCCCCAGUGAUUCCUGCAGAUUUAUCCCCUGCCUGUGGAAAAUUAGAAACUAGAUUAAGGAGGGUGCCAAUCCUGCUGCUGGUUAUGGAAUUUUACCCUUGGAAUGGGUUUGUUCUUCCUGCCUAGGAAUCCUGCCUGGAAAUCAUGGAAUGGUUUGGAUUGAAAAGCUGAAAUUCUAGAAGUCCUGCCUAGAAAUCAUGGAAUGGUUUGGGUUGGAAAGUUGAAAUUAAUCUCUUCUGGAAAUCAUGGAAUGGUUUGGGCUGGAAAGCUGAAAUCCAGCCGUUCUGGAAAUCAUGGAGUGGUGUGGGUUGGAAAGUUGAAAUUAAUCUCUUCUGGAAAUCAUGGAAUGGUUUGGGCUGGAAAGCUGAAAUCCAGCCGUUCUGGAAAUCAUGGAAUGGUUUGGAUUGGAAAGUUGAAAUUCAGGGAAUCCUGCCUGGAAAUCAUGGAAUGGUUUGGGCUGGAAAGCUGAAAUCCAGCCGUUCUGGAAAUCAUGGAAUGGUUUGGAUUGGAAAGUUGAAAUUCAGGAAAUCCUGCCUGGAAAUCAUGGAAUGGUUUGGGUUGGAAAGGUGAAAUCCAGCCGUUCUGGAAAUCAUGGAAUGGUUUGGGUUGGAAAGCUGAAAUCCAGCCGUUCUGGAAAUCAUGGAAUGGUUUGGGUUGGAAAGCUGAAAUCCAGCUGUUCUGGAAUUCCUGCCGGGGCUGCCCAGGGAGGCGCUGGGGAGGCGCCCCAGGGUGCGGGUUGGGGGCCGGGGGUGGCCGGAGGGGCCAGGGCCGGGUCCGGUGUGUGGGAGGGGGUCAGGGCCGUGUCCGUUCUGUCUGUGCCAUGUCCAUGUCGUUUCUGUGCCAUAUCUGUGCCCUGUCCAUGCCGUGUCCGUGCCGUGUCCCUGCCAUGUCCGUGGCAUGUCCAUGUCGUGUCUGUGCCGUGUCUGUGCCGUGUCCGUGCCGUGUCCAUGCCAUGUCCGUGCCCUGUCCCUGCCAUGUCCAUGCCAUGUCCAUGCCGUGUCCGUGCUGUGCCCGUGCCGUGUCCGUGCCAUAUCUGUGCCCUGUCCCUGCCCUGUCCGUGCCAUGCCGUGCCGUGCCCGGUGUGCGGGAGCCGGGCCGGUUCUGUGCGUGGCUCUGCCGGAGGCGGAUCGGAGCCUGGCGGGGCUGUCCCGGGGCUGUCCCGGGGCUGUCCCCGGUACUGCGGGAGGCGGGCCGGUGCCGGUUCCGUGGGAGGGAGGCUGGGCUGUUCCCGGUGCUAUCCCCGGUUCCGUGGCGGUGCCGUGGGAGGCGGGCCGGUCCCGGUGCUAUCCCCGGUGCCGUGGGAGGCGGGCCGGUGCCGGUGCUGGUGCUAUCCCCGGUGCCGUGGGAGGCGGGCCGGUGCCGGUGCCGGUGCCGGUGCCGGCGCUAUCCCCGGUGCCGUGGGAGGCGGGCCGGUGCCGGUGCCGUGGGAGGCGGGCCGGUGCCGGUGCCGGUGCUAUCUCCGGUGCCGUGGGAGGCGGGCCGGUCCCGGUGCCGUGGGAGGCGGGCCGGUGCCGGUGCCGGUGCCGGUGCUAUCCCCGGUGCCGUGGGAGGCGGGCCGGUGCCGGUGCCGGUGCCGGUGCCGGUGCCAUCCCCGGUGCCGGUGCCGCGGAGGAGGCGGGCCGGCGCGGGGGGCGGGCGCUGCCGCGGGGCCGGCGGGCGAUGCGCUUCCUCCGCUGAGCGCAGCGCGGCCGAGCCGGCAGGAUGACGGUGGAGUUCGAGGAGUGCAUCAAGGACUCGCCCCGGUUCCGGUGAGCGCAGGGCCGCCGCGGCCGCCCCGGGAAGGGCCCGGGGCGGUGCCGGGGCUGGGGGGGACGGGAGCACGGGCAGGGCCGCGCC